This 742-nucleotide ribosomal RNA is filed under the name uncultured Bacilli bacterium. Its description in RNAcentral is "bacterial SSU rRNA". It matches the Rfam family "Bacterial small subunit ribosomal RNA", at positions 47 to 756 of the family's 1533-position model. The record is from RNAcentral. Lineage: Bacteria; Bacillati; Bacillota; Bacilli.
CCUAAUACAUGCAAGUCGAGCGAGCGGAACCAACAGAUUUACUUCGGUAAUGACGUUGGGAAAGCGAGCGGCGGAUGGGUGAGUAACACGUGGGGAACCUGCCCCUAAGUCUGGGAUACCAUUUGGAAACAGGUGCUAAUACCGGAUAAUAAAGCAGAUCGCAUGAUCAGCUUUUGAAAGGCGGCGUAAGCUGUCGCUAAGGGAUGGCCCCGCGGUGCAUUAGCUAGUUGGUAAGGUAACGGCUUACCAAGGCGACGAUGCAUAGCCGAGUUGAGAGACUGAUCGGCCACAUUGGGACUGAGACACGGCCCAAACUCCUACGGGAGGCAGCAGUAGGGAAUCUUCCACAAUGGACGCAAGUCUGAUGGAGCAACGCCGCGUGAGUGAAGAAGGUUUUCGGAUCGUAAAGCUCUGUUGUUGGUGAAGAAGGAUAGAGGUAGUAACUGGCCUUUAUUUGACGGUAAUCAACCAGAAAGUCACGGCUAACUACGUGCCAGCAGCCGCGGUAAUACGUAGGUGGCAAGCGUUGUCCGGAUUUAUUGGGCGUAAAGCGAGCGCAGGCGGAAAAAUAAGUCUAAUGUGAAAGCCCUCGGCUUAACCGAGGAACUGCAUCGGAAACUGUUUUUCUUGAGUGCAGAAGAGGAGAGUGGAACUCCAUGUGUAGCGGUGGAAUGCGUAGAUAUAUGGAAGAACACCAGUGGCGAAGGCGGCUCUCUGGUCUGCAACUGACGCUGAGGCUCGA